AAAAAUCUCACCAUAGAGAAGAUCUGAAGGAGAUGCCUUCUGAGUGCCUGACAAAGCGUUGCCAUUUCAUUGCUAUUCUCCCUCCACACUGUAGAGGAUACAACCAAGGCCCGUUUUUCAAGCCUAGACCCGGCUGGAUGAAAAGCAUUAAAGGGUGUGGACUCAGUCACAUAUGAACUAUAUAUGGCACAGGCAUUUUAUGGCAUAGAUCUGGAGGGAAGCUUCAGAAGACCAUGAACCAACCCCAAAGCCAAUGAAAUCCACUCCCUUCAAAUUGGCAGGCUCACAGCCGAUCCUACAGCAUAUAUAGCACAACUCAGUGCCUAAAAUACAGCUGUGAUGUUUACCUCUGGUGUUUACACACGAAGUGCAAGUACCUGAGAAUGAAGCAGAUUACCUGCAGCGUCGUCUUUCUGCAAUGUUGUCAUGUUUUCAAGCACUGGAAAAGUAUGAUAGAAUCAGCAAGGUUGGAAAAGACCACUAAGAUCACCUAGUCCAAACAUCAACCCUUCCCCACAGUGCGUACUGAACCACGUCCCUCUGUGCCACAUCUGCUUGUUUCUCGAGCACCCCCAGGGGCAGUGACUCCACCAUCUCACUGGGCAGCCUGGUCCAAUAGCUCACCACUCUUUCUGAGGAGAAACCUUUCCUAAUAUCCAGUUUUUCCUAAUAUCUAGCAUCUGGAAUUGUACAGCAAACCUACACAAUGGAAACACGUUCAAAACUUUCCUGAUGGGAUGUCUUCAAAUAAAAGGUAAUAUUUCAUCCUAGGAGCAUGUUUGUUUGGAUCCUUACCCAAGGAAAAUUGGGGAUUUUGAAACUCGGUAUGAGGAAAUGGCAACUAUAUCAAAGGCAGGGCAUGUCUUUGAUAUCCCUGCCUGCUUGUGACUCUGAACAAGGCCUCUGUGACGUCUGAGUUACCUCAAGGAAAUGGGAGCAGCUUUCCAGCGCUUGCUCUUGCCCAUCUGGCUGAGGGGCCUUGUGCUCCUGGCCAGG
Long non-coding RNA from Gallus gallus (chicken), 996 nucleotides. The record is from Ensembl. Lineage: Eukaryota; Metazoa; Chordata; Aves; Galliformes; Phasianidae.